CGAAUGCUGACAUAAGUAACGAUAAAGCGGGUGAAAAGCCCGCUCGCCGGAAGACCAAGGGUUCCUGUCCAACGUUAAUCGGGGCAGGGUGAGUCGACCCCUAAGGCGAGGCCGAAAGGCGUAGUCGAUGGGAAACAGGUUAAUAUUCCUGUACUUGGUGUUACUGCGAAGGGGGGACGGAGAAGGCUAUGUUGGCCGGGCGACGGUUGUCCCGGUUUAAGCGUGUAGGCUGGUUUUCCAGGCAAAUCCGGAAAAUCAAGGCUGAGGCGUGAUGACGAGGCAC
Molecule: ribosomal RNA, 283 nt
Filed under: Escherichia coli
Lineage: Bacteria; Pseudomonadati; Pseudomonadota; Gammaproteobacteria; Enterobacterales; Enterobacteriaceae
Description: partial 23S ribosomal RNA
Rfam family: Bacterial large subunit ribosomal RNA
Source: RNAcentral